RNAcentral lists this ribosomal RNA (603 nucleotides) under Nostoc sp. 'Protopannaria pezizoides cyanobiont'. RNAcentral's name for it is "bacterial SSU rRNA". It matches the Rfam family "Bacterial small subunit ribosomal RNA", at positions 125 to 760 of the family's 1533-position model. The record is from RNAcentral. Lineage: Bacteria; Bacillati; Cyanobacteriota; Cyanophyceae; Nostocales; Nostocaceae.
UCUGGCUUUAGGUCUGGGACAACCACUGGAAACGGUGGCUAAUACUGGAUGUGCCGAAAGGUGAAAGGUUAACUGCCUGAAGAUGAGCUCGCGUCUGAUUAGCUAGUAGGUAGUGUAAUGGACUACCUAGGCGACGAUCAGUAGCUGGUCUGAGAGGACGAUCAGCCACACUGGGACUGAGACACGGCCCAGACUCCUACGGGAGGCAGCAGUGGGGAAUUUUCCGCAAUGGGCGAAAGCCUGACGGAGCAAUACCGCGUGAGGGAGGAAGGCUCUUGGGUCGUAAACCUCUUUUCUCAGGGAAGAACACAAUGACGGUACCUGAGGAAUAAGCAUCGGCUAACUCCGUGCCAGCAGCCGCGGUAAUACGGAGGAUGCAAGCGUUAUCCGGAAUGAUUGGGCGUAAAGCGUCCGCAGGUGGCGAUGUAAGUCUGCUGUUAAAGAGUCUAGCUCAACUAGAUAAAAGCAGUGGAAACUACAUAGCUAGAGUACGUUCGGGGCAGAGGGAAUUCCUGGUGUAGCGGUGAAAUGCGUAGAGAUCAGGAAGAACACCGGUGGCGAAGGCGCUCUGCUAGGCCGUAACUGACACUGAGGGACGAAAGC